CCUACGGGAGACAGCAGUGGGGAAUAUUGCACAAUGGGGGAAACUCUGAUGCAGCGACGCCGCGUGAGCGAUGAAGUAUUUCGGGAUGUAAAGCUCUAUCAGCAGGGAAGAAAAUGACGGUACCUGACUAAGAAGCCCCGGCCAACGACGUGCCAGCAGCAGUGGUAAUACGGAGGGGGCAAGCGUUAUCCGGAUUUACUGGGUGUAAGGGGAGCGUAGACGGUCCGGCAGGCAAGAUGUGAAAGCCCGGGGCUCAACCCCGGGACUGCAGUUGAAACUGUAAGGCUAGAGUGUCGGAGAGGCAGGCGGAAUUCCUAGUGUAGCGGUGAAAUGCGUAGAUAUUAGGAGGAACACCAGUGGCGAAGGCGGCCUGCUGGACGGUGACUGACGUUGAGGCUCGAAAGCGUGGGGAGCAAACAGGAUUAGAUACCCCUGUAGUC
This 440-nucleotide ribosomal RNA is filed under the name uncultured bacterium. Its description in RNAcentral is "partial 16S ribosomal RNA". It matches the Rfam family "Bacterial small subunit ribosomal RNA", at positions 338 to 795 of the family's 1533-position model. The record is from RNAcentral.